AUUCUGGGAUAGAGCCAGGCACGGGAGAUGCACACGGGAAGAUGUGACAAGGCGGACGCUUGGUGCCUGAGCACAGGCAUUCCCCUGCCCCUGCUCCCACGUGUCACAUACACACUGUGAACCAUAGAUUAUUAUUAGACCAUCACAAAGCGACAAGGACAGGAAUGGAAAAAAACCUGCAAGGCGAGAAGUGUGUCAGAGGAGCACCCUGGAAACGAGAAUUACUUCCGUGUAAUCAGAGAAGGUUAUUUCUGUAAGGAAAAAUAAAAACGAACAAACAGAAUCAACUGAAACUGUGGCUCCAGAACUCCCAGUAUCAGAGAAAGUCCUGUGAGGCUCCUUAGUCUGAAAUUCCU
RNAcentral lists this long non-coding RNA (356 nucleotides) under Mus pahari (shrew mouse). Its description in RNAcentral is "low density lipoprotein receptor-related protein 8, apolipoprotein e receptor, opposite strand 2 (MGP_PahariEiJ_G0003756.1)". The record is from RNAcentral. Lineage: Eukaryota; Metazoa; Chordata; Mammalia; Rodentia; Muridae.